RNAcentral lists this ribosomal RNA (1191 nucleotides) under Latilactobacillus curvatus. Its description in RNAcentral is "bacterial SSU rRNA". It matches the Rfam family "Bacterial small subunit ribosomal RNA", at positions 34 to 1194 of the family's 1533-position model. Lineage: Bacteria; Bacillati; Bacillota; Bacilli; Lactobacillales; Lactobacillaceae. The record is from RNAcentral.
CCCUAGGGGGGUGCUAAUAAUGCAAGUCGAACGCACUCUCGUUAGAUUGAAGAAGCUUGCUUCUGAUUGAUAACAUUUGAGUGAGUGGCGGACGGGUGAGUAACACGUGGGUAACCUGCCCUAAAGUGGGGGAUAACAUUUGGAAACAGAUGCUAAUACCGCAUAAAACCUAGCACCGCAUGGUGCAAGGUUGAAAGAUGGUUUCGGCUAUCACUUUAGGAUGGACCCGCGGUGCAUUAGUUAGUUGGUGAGGUAAAGGCUCACCAAGACCGUGAUGCAUAGCCGACCUGAGAGGGUAAUCGGCCACACUGGGACUGAGACACGGCCCAGACUCCUACGGGAGGCAGCAGUAGGGAAUCUUCCACAAUGGACGAAAGUCUGAUGGAGCAACGCCGCGUGAGUGAAGAAGGUUUUCGGAUCGUAAAACUCUGUUGUUGGAGAAGAACGUAUUUGAUAGUAACUGAUCAGGUAGUGACGGUAUCCAACCAGAAAGCCACGGCUAACUACGUGCCAGCAGCCGCGGUAAUACGUAGGUGGCAAGCGUUGUCCGGAUUUAUUGGGCGUAAAGCGAGCGCAGGCGGUUUCUUAAGUCUGAUGUGAAAGCCUUCGGCUCAACCGAAGAAGUGCAUCGGAAACUGGGAAACUUGAGUGCAGAAGAGGACAGUGGAACUCCAUGUGUAGCGGUGAAAUGCGUAGAUAUAUGGAAGAACACCAGUGGCGAAGGCGGCUGUCUGGUCUGUAACUGACGCUGAGGCUCGAAAGCAUGGGUAGCAAACAGGAUUAGAUACCCUGGUAGUCCAUGCCGUAAACGAUGAGUGCUAGGUGUUGGAGGGUUUCCGCCCUUCAGUGCCGCAGCUAACGCAUUAAGCACUCCGCCUGGAGAGUACGACCGCAAGGUUGAAACUCAAAGGAAUUGACGGGCGCCCGCACAAGCGGUGGAGCAUGUGGUUUAAUUCGAAGCAACGCGAAGAACCUUACCAGGUCUUGACAUCCUUUGACCACUCUAGAGAUAGAGCUUUCCCUUCGGGGACAAAGUGACAGGUGGUGCAUGGUUGUCCUCAGCUCGUGUCGUGAGAUGUUGGGUUAAGUCCCGCAACGAGCGCACCCUUAUUACUAGUUGCCAGCAUUUAGUUGGGCACUCUAGUGAGACUGCCGUGACAACCGGAGGAGGUGGGGACGACUUCAAUCACC